Molecule: long non-coding RNA, 1180 nt
Filed under: Nicotiana tabacum (common tobacco)
Lineage: Eukaryota; Viridiplantae; Streptophyta; Magnoliopsida; Solanales; Solanaceae
Description: long non-coding RNA (NTAB_LNC009779)
Source: RNAcentral
UUUAGUUUUCCUGAAAUCAGGGGGCCCCGCUUGGAGAAUAGGGUCAGUUUUUACUUUAGUCAAGCUUAGUUUAUAGUUUUGCGCAAGCUCAAUCACGUUUAGAAGACGUACAUACUAGUCGAGCCAUUAAUUUUACUCUCAUCAUUGCAUCCUUCAUCAGCAGCGUAGGUGAUUUAUAGUUUUUUAAACACUCACAGAUGUUCCCACUAUCAAACUGGGGCAGAAAAUUUUCUUUUGUUUUGUUUCUUUUGUUGUAAUCAGGCGCCCACCUGGAGAACAAGGGAAGACAACUCAAGUUUCAAGGGAAAACAGUUUCGAAGGAAGACAGUUCAAGUUUCAAGGGAAAAUGGUUCAAGGUGCAAGGGAAAACAGUGUCAAGUAACAAAGAAGACGGUUCAAGUUCAGCAAUCAGGCGCCCACCUGGAGAACAAGGGAAGUUAUUUCAAAAUUCAAUUCAAGUCAGAAGUAGCAGAAGCUCAUGGCAAGAAUGCGAGUCAACAAUCCGAGAUGAUCAACAGAAGUAGGCUCAAUCCAAAAAAAAAGAAGAAGAAGAAAAAAAAAGAAAAAGAAAAAAAUAAGUGAAUCCAAAAUGUAGAAGCGAAGAAAGAUGUGGACUACUGAAGACGUGAUUGAAGUCACAAGCUUUGCAUGUCCCGUCUUGAUCCGAAAAAGCUGAAAAAGAUUGAACCAAUACCUGCAACUAACAAGCAUCAAGAUUCAGAUCGGAGUCCGCAUGAAAAACCAACCAAGACUCAAGAUCAAGCUUCAGAAGACUCAUAGAUAGGAAUCGUGUAACUCGUAGCUGAUAGACGUAGUUAGUCUUUUUCAUUUUUGAUUUUGAUGUAAUAACAGGACCGCGGACAGGAACCUCAGCGGAACGGCACGUCGCUCGGCUCUCAACCUCGGCAUACUCCAUCAUCUCACUCACCUCUGAACUACACGUGACCUGAUUCCUUUAUAGCCAAGGAUAUGUAGGCAACUCAGAUACCAGGGCUCGGUCACAUUCCCUUAUCUCUUAGUUUUAAUCUCUUCAAAUAAGGGUCAGAUCAAAAAACAUGUCUACUCGUUCUUUGUCCGAAAACUCUUCGUGUUUUCAGUCAAAGAGGGGAAGCUGUAGACAUGUGUUUUUUGUCCCUCCCCAAGAUUUUUCGUAUUUUAGCAUGUAAAUAUUUAAUUUAGG